GACGAACGCUGGCGGCGGGCCUAAUACAUGCAAGUAGAACGCUGAAGGAGGAGCUUGCUUCUCUGGAUGAGUUGCGAACGGGUGAGUAACGCGUAGGUAACCUGCCUGGUAGCGGGGGAUAACUAUUGGAAAGGAUAGCUAAUACCGCAUAAGAGUAGAUGUUGCAUGACAUUUGCUUAAAAGGUGCAAUUCAAUCACUACCAGAUGGACCUGCGUUGUAUUAGCUAGUUGGUGAGGUAACGGCUCAACAAGGCGACGAUACAUAGCCGACCCGAGAGGGGGAUCGGCCACACUGGGACUGAGACACGGCCCAGAAUCCUAAGGGAGGGAGCAGUAGGGAAUCUUCGGCAAUGGACGGAAGUCUGACCGAGCAACGCCGCGGGAGGGAAGAAGGUUUUCGGAUCGUAAAGCUCUGUUGUAAGAGAAGAACGAGUGUGAGAGUGGAAAGUUCACACUGUGACGGUAUCUUACCAGAAAGGGACGGCUAACUACGUG
This 495-nucleotide ribosomal RNA is filed under the name uncultured bacterium. RNAcentral's name for it is "partial 16S ribosomal RNA". It matches the Rfam family "Bacterial small subunit ribosomal RNA", at positions 28 to 507 of the family's 1533-position model. The record is from RNAcentral.